GCACGGUGGAGCCAAAAGUCAAGAGUUCAUGAUAACCAUACAAACCGGUGGAAAACUGAAUAGUAUCAGCAGUCUUAUUCUGGACUCCUUUUUUGCUUUGACAGCAGUGAAAAACUUGCUUUGGACUGGGUUUGCGUGGUGGAGACUGGAGAGUGUAGAGGAAAGAGACAUGUGUGGGCAUGAUCAAAGUAUUCGCUAUCACAACAUGACAAGUAUGCAGACACUUCAGGCGCUGGCUUGAUCUGAAGCUCGACCCUGAUGAUCUAAAAAGAAAGCCUUGUACACAUCGUCAGUAGCGUCUCUCCGUCCAAAGAAAUCUAGAAUUUCACAACUUGACAAAUCCUCGAGAAGAGAAGAUAAGGAGACGGGAGGAUGGGUCACCUGCUCAGCUUGUGUGGCCGGAGCCGUGCCGCUCAUGAAGGAGUAGAGAUAGCAGAUACAGGCCGCUGGAGCCGAAAGUAUAGCAAACACAAAGAGAUUUUAGGCAUGCCAAAAUGCCACAGGGGCAGAAGAGAAACGAGUAGAGACAAUGGAACACCAUGACAAACAUUCUAUCC
RNAcentral lists this ribosomal RNA (557 nucleotides) under Triticum aestivum (bread wheat). RNAcentral's name for it is "partial small subunit ribosomal RNA". Lineage: Eukaryota; Viridiplantae; Streptophyta; Magnoliopsida; Poales; Poaceae. The record is from RNAcentral.